GAGGACCGCCACCCCACCCUGAACACACCUGGUCGUGUCUGGUUUUGAAAGCUAAGCAGGGCCGGGCCUCUUUCUUUCGUGCCUGGAAGGGAGACCCACCGUGAGCUCCCACGGAGCGGCCAGGC
This 125-nucleotide ribosomal RNA is filed under the name Pogona vitticeps (central bearded dragon). The record is from RNAcentral. Lineage: Eukaryota; Metazoa; Chordata; Lepidosauria; Squamata; Agamidae.